CCACGUCAUCGGCAAUAGGUUUACACAGCACGUUUACCAAUACAUUUGAUAGACGUCAAGCUUUAUUUCAGAGCGUCGGACUAAACAGUGAUCAAUUGAUAAAGUUGAAAGAACUGUAUCAAAAUUACAAAAAUACCAACACAAUUAUUCAGAUGGGAUUCGCACAAGACGUGGAAAAAACCUUUGGAACGGAAUGGACAAAUUAUAAAAUUAUUUUUAAAUACAAUUCAGUUGAGCAAGAUUUGCACCGUUCAUUGAAGGAGUGGGCGGAAAUGGACAAAAGCUCCGACAAAACCGAGGUAUUCAAGGUCUCAAAUCAACUAGUUUAAACUCGAAAUAACAUAUAAAACACAUAUUGGCAAACGUCGAAAUCGUGAUUUAAUCUGCGUUGGUUCCGCUUGAUUUCUUAGUUAUUCUUUUUUAUACUAUUAUCGUAUUUAUAUUAUAAAAUAUUAUAAUACGAUUCCUUGACCGUUAGAACAGAAAUUUAAAACAACGUAUUUAAAAGUGAUGAUCAUGAUUUUAACGGAGAACAAUAAUGUAACAUGUACAAUCUCAGACGGUACCCGAGACGAUAUAUACACAUAUACACGCACACACCCGUAUGUGCCAGUGAUCGCAAUGUUUUGCUGACGUUGUAAUUUCUGGGACAAUUUUUAUUGUAAUAUUAGUUAGAAGGUUUUAAUAUUAUUUUUCAUAAUAUUAAAUAAAUAAGUGAUUUUUUUUUUCCCUCAAGACAAAGUAAAUUAUAUUAUCAAAAUAUAAAAGAGUAAAUAUUAUCGGUCUGUGCCGUGCAAUUAUGCAAACGUGUAAAAAUAAUUAUCUUUAUAUUUUGCCCCGUAAAUAUAAAUAAGCAAUUAGGAUCGGAACGUCAUUUAUGUAUUACUGUAAUUUCCAGAAGUAGGUCAUUUUAUGGUCCAUUUUAGUCGCGACCCCUAUUUGUGAGCCUAGGAUAAUAUGAACUAGGUCAAUUUUUUUUUCCAACUAUAUUAGAAUUUAAUAUUCACUUACUACUUCUGCCGUACGCCUAUUGCUAAGUCAUCAAUACUACCGAAUUAUUUGCCGAUUUUAUUUACAUCAUCGUUUUUGCCGACGCGUACUAAAUAGUACCCAUUUGCCGUUUGUUUCAUCUUUAGUCGCACGUUGCCGCCCGCAGCCAAGGAGGCGAUCAUAUUCGGCCGCACGUUGCCGCUUUUAAGAUAAUCAAUUUGAAUUUUAAUUUUGUAUGUUUUUAUUUGCCAAUUGCCGUUUUUGCCAUGGCCAUAGAUCGCCGCAAUUUUAAAUUGCCGCAUACCUAUAUUGUUGCCGAUAUUGCCGCCUAAGUGCCGCAUUUUAACCGCAAAGUUCAAUAUUUUAUUGAUUUAUUUUGCCGUUGGUCUGGAGACCAACAUUUUUACCACACCAUAUAACACAUAUCUUUGAAUUUCGAGUGUCGAUCAUAUGGGUAGUUUAAGAGAAAGGAGUAGCUAACCUUUAUUUUAUACGUCCGGAUCGAAUUUUUGAAUUUUAAAUAUUUUGGUUGUUAAUACGCGAAUGUCAUCAGCGAUUUUGGUAGUGAAUAAAUACAUAUUUCCGGUUGGUUACCGUUGAGUUUUUAUAUUUUAUUUAUACGGCUGUUUGUCUCUGCGUUUGUUCAGAUUGACUGUUAUAUUAUUAUUUGGCAAAUAUUUUCCCGGCUAACCACCGGUGACCGUCCGGUUUUACCGUUGACAUGUUUUUUACACGGCACUGUCUCUGACGAUCUCAGAUUGACUUAUUUUACUUGUUGAAUAAUAUUUUAUUAUUUUUAUCAACCAAUGGACGACUAUUAUGUCAGAUCACGAGUUGUCAUUACAUUAUGCGGCGUAUUAAUUUUUCGGCUUUAUAAAAUAAUUUCGGAUUAGUUAAUGAAAUAAUGACUGAUAUUUUACACGGCGUUUCGUUUUCGAUUAACUGUUUUUGACUAUGUUCACAUUAAAUUGGAUUUUAACGAAUUUAUUUUAUUGACACAAGGUGUGCAGAUGCAACCAAUAUUUUCUUUUUACGGCGAUUUUAUUUUUAUGUGCAUAAUUUUGCGCAUGCUGAUUUUCGUAACUAUAUGAAAUUAUUUUGAAAUAGUUUCGUUUAUUUAUUUUUUAUUUUAAUAAAAAUAUUUUAUUUUUCUUAUGAGAACACUUACAAUUUUAAAGGGUACUUACGUUAAAUGACGUCCGAGUUGCUUGUAUUAUCAAACCCAAAAUGUCUGACCACAUAAUUGAUUCUAUUCUUAUUUAAAUGUUAAUUUUCCAAAGCAAUGUGUAUUUAGGGGCUAUAUAAAAUUAUUUAUCAAUUAAUUAUACUGUAUUUCAUUAAGUAUAUAUAUAUAUAUGUAUGUCUUAUUAAGUCGACUUUUAUAUUAAGUUUUAGGCGCAGCGGUACGGUGGUCAACUUUUAAAACUGUCUUUUUAAAGACAACCUGUUUGUUAAUAAUGCCUUUGUUUUACAUAUUUUUAUUAUAUACAUAUAUAUUGACCGAUUGUUAUAGUUAAAAUAAAUCAUUUCCUAGACAUACGAUACGCCAAAGGCGCAAGAUUAGCCGAUGUCAAAAUAUUUUUUGUAAUUUUUUUUGUAUCGUAUGUGUAAUGUUUGUAUACAUUUUAGAAGAAAAAAAACCGCGUAACGACCUGGGGACGGAAAUAAUUACUUUCUUUAAUUUAAAUUGUUUACGGAAAACUACCCUACAAUCAAUCAAAAUACACCUGAAGGUGCGUGCAUUCUUUAACUUAAGUGUAUAUUGUAAAUGGUCUGUUUUUUUAUGCAGCUUUUUCCCCAGAGCCAUUAAGUUAACUUAAAUGCUAUUAAUUUGUGAUUACACAUCAUUUUAUUUUAUAAAUAUUAUUCACCGGAUGCACGCCCACAUUGUUUGUGAUUCUUGAUUCUGGUGGAAAAGAGGACCUAAACUCUACAAUGAAAGAGUUCAAUGGUAAAACAAGAGUAAGCUUCGCGGAUUUCAUGAAAAGGAUAUUAUUUCGUCCAUGAGAAUUAUCUUAAACACCAUUAAUUGGACAAUGUUCAAUAACC
Molecule: long non-coding RNA, 3039 nt
Organism: Adelges cooleyi (spruce gall adelgid)
Lineage: Eukaryota; Metazoa; Arthropoda; Insecta; Hemiptera; Adelgidae
Exons: 3
Source: RefSeq, a predicted model, not a curated record